GCUUUGAGAAGCUAAUUAGCAUCGGUCUUGUAAACCGAAGAUCAGAAUACAACCUCUCCAAAGCU
RNAcentral lists this transfer RNA (65 nucleotides) under Lamprotula leaii. RNAcentral describes it as "tRNA-Thr". The record is from RNAcentral. Lineage: Eukaryota; Metazoa; Mollusca; Bivalvia; Unionida; Unionidae.